Molecule: ribosomal RNA, 464 nt
Filed under: uncultured bacterium
Lineage: Bacteria
Description: partial 16S ribosomal RNA
Rfam family: Bacterial small subunit ribosomal RNA
Source: RNAcentral
GACGAACGCUGGCGGCGUGCUUAACACAUGCAAGUCGAACGGUAAGGCCCUUUCGGGGGUACACGAGUGGCGAACGGGUGAGUAACACGUGGGUGAUCUGCCCUGCACUUUGGGAUAAGCCUGGGAAACUGGGUCUAAUACCGGAUAGGACUACGCGAUGCAUGUCGUGUGGUGGAAAGCUUUUGCGGUGUGGGAUGGGCCCGCGGCCUAUCAGCUUGUUGGUGGGGUGAUGGCCUACCAAGGCGACGACGGGUAGCCGGCCUGAGAGGGUGUCCGGCCACACUGGGACUGAGAGACGGCCCAGACUCCUACGGGAGGCAGCAGUGGGGAAUAUUGCACAAUGGGCGCAAGCCUGAUGCAGCGACGCCGCGUGGGGGAUGACGGCCUUCGGGUUGUAAACCCCUUUCAGCACAGACGAAGCGUAAGUGACGGUAUGUGCAGAAGAAGCACCGGCCAACUACGUG